CGGAGGAUCCAAGCGUUAUCCGGAUUUAUGGGUUUAAAGGGUGCGUAGGCGGCCUGUUAAGUCAGAGGUGAAAGACGGUAGCUCAACUAUCGCAGUGCCUUUGAUACUGAUGGGCUUGAAUAAACUAGAGGUAGGCGGAAUGAGACAAGUAGCGGUGAAAUGCAUAGAUAUGUCUCAGAACACCGAUUGCGAAGGCAGCUUACUAUGGUUUUAUUGACGCUGAGGCACGAAAGCGUGGGGAUCAAACAGGAUUAGAUACCCUGGUAGUCCACGCCCUAAACGAUGAAUACUCGCUGUUAGCGAUAUACAGUUAGCGGCUAAGCGAAAGCGUUAAGUAUUCCACCUGGGGAGUACGCUCGCAAGAGUG
Molecule: ribosomal RNA, 367 nt
Filed under: uncultured organism
Description: bacterial SSU rRNA
Rfam family: Bacterial small subunit ribosomal RNA
Source: RNAcentral